ACAUAAAGAGGAAAAAAGAAUAGAGGCAGAAAGGUUUUUAAAUGGAUUUUUCCCCCUUUUUUUCUCUUGCCCCUAUCCGAAGUUUAAGGCCAUUUGCAUAAAAACAAUAUUAUUGUUAUUAUUUUUUCUUCCAAAAAUGUAGCUACUCUUUGUCUUUAAUUUCUUCUCCUGAAAACUGUGGACCAGUGCCUAAGACUGGUGUCAGGCACUGGAGGAGCAGAAUGCCUCGGAUUUGGAAGUUCAUCCAAACUUCAUGUAACUGCAGGCUGCUUGAGAUAGGAGCAAGCACGAUUACAACCCUGGUGGCGUUAGGGACAGGGCAGUGGGUCCUCAGCAGGAGCUUGAGUAGCUUCAGAUAAAUUAGGAAAGUGGCGGUGUACAAGGGAACUAUGCGGAGGUAUGAAGGAAAUGGAUUUUACUGUGGGUUGAUAAGCAUAUGCCUAUGUGAAUACGCUGAUUUCUGCAGAAUCGUGGAACAAAUAGUAGUUGAUACAGGCAGAUCCAGUGUUCGCUUUUUCUUUUUUUUUUUUUUUUUUUCCCCUCCCAGUCUCUAACUUCUCAGGUGUUUUUAACUCACAGGCACCCAAGACACUGUAAGCAGGGCUGCCUGACUUUUCAGGUGAGGAGGGAACAGCAGGAACAGAUGGAUUCCUCAGCACCAGAGGCUGGUUUCCAUGCAAAUACAGCUCGGUGACAAAGAACAAGGAGGCAAAAGCUGCUGAUAAAGGGUGUGGGAACUGGUGUCUGAAAGUUUCCUGAGGCUCUGGUGAAUCUGUAACAGGUGGCAGCCAAAUGGAACUGCUUUCUAAUCAGAAGGGACUGUUUUGUGAUUUUUUUUUCUAUGUUUUUUUUAAGUACAGCCUAAGUCACUGAACAAAGCAGAGAGAAGUUCCUAACAGCAUCUGGUGGAAUGCAAAUGCACUGUUGUUACCAGGCACAUUAUAGCCAGCUUACCCACCCUCAAAGAGGAGGAAGAAGGCACCACAAUUUGCAUAUAGAUAAGGUGCCAGCCCAGCCCGCCCUCACGUCCCAUAGGAAGAAGGAGCCUUCUGCAGCUGUGAUUGCCUUCUUAACCCUGCCUGCGAUGGAUUCAGCGUUGGCUCAAGGAGUGUAGCAUUACUCACUGAAAAGCCAAGUCACAAGCAUUUCUCUUCCUAAUGUACUGUGGAUUUUGUUUUCCCUUGAGAUCUCCCGCCCAAGUACUGACCAAUGCUUGACCCUGCUUAGUUUAUGAGAGGUCGACAAGAUGUAAAUCCAGAGCAAAAAAUUUCCUGGGCCUAUUUGUC
This 1286-nucleotide long non-coding RNA is filed under the name Anas platyrhynchos platyrhynchos (common mallard). Its description in RNAcentral is "lncRNA (ENSAPLG00000029062.1)". The record is from RNAcentral. Lineage: Eukaryota; Metazoa; Chordata; Aves; Anseriformes; Anatidae.